This 301-nucleotide ribosomal RNA is filed under the name uncultured bacterium. RNAcentral's name for it is "partial 16S ribosomal RNA". It matches the Rfam family "Bacterial small subunit ribosomal RNA", at positions 509 to 807 of the family's 1533-position model. The record is from RNAcentral.
CAGCAGCCGCGGGAAUACGUAGGUGGCAAGCGUUGUCCGGAAUUAUUGGGCGUAAAGGGCUCGCAGGCGGUUUCUUAAGUCUGAUGUGAAAGCCCCCGGCUCAACCGGGGAGGGUCAUUGGAAACUGGGAAACUUGAGUGCAGAAGAGGAGAGUGGAAUUCCACGUGUAGCGGUGAAAUGCGUAGAGAUGUGGAGGAACACCAGUGGCGAAGGCGACUCUCUGGUCUGUAACUGACGCUGAGGAGCGAAAGUGUGGGGAGCGAACAGGAUUAGAGACCCCGGUAGUCCCUGUCUCUUAUAC